AAGAUAGAUAGCUGUAAGUAUGGUGUUGUGUAUUUAGGACAGUAAAUUUAAGGAGUUAGGACUAUGACUCUGGUUAUGUAUGUGCGAUAGUGUAGGAGUGUAUGAGUAUAUGGCUUGCUCUCUAUUAUGUUCUAUGUGGUAUAUGGGAUGCUAUGUGUGGUAUAUGUGAUGCCAUGUGUGGUGGUUGGUUAGUGUAGAAAACCUUUUCAGUUGCUGACUGAAUGCAACAUUAUUGACUUUUCCUUUGCUCUGAUUGCUUGAUUGUCCCAUUAUGUCACUUAACUACUCAUCAUUGUUGCCAUUUAUGCAUAAUCGUAACUGACCAUAAUGCAACCUUGCAUCUGUUACCUACUG
This is a non-coding RNA of Lupinus albus (white lupine), 354 nucleotides long. Lineage: Eukaryota; Viridiplantae; Streptophyta; Magnoliopsida; Fabales; Fabaceae. The record is from the annotation of a GenBank genome assembly.